Molecule: ribosomal RNA, 501 nt
Filed under: uncultured bacterium
Lineage: Bacteria
Description: partial 16S ribosomal RNA
Rfam family: Bacterial small subunit ribosomal RNA
Source: RNAcentral
AUUGAACGCUGGCGGCAGGCUUAACACAUGCAAGUCGAGCGGGGAAAGGUAGCUUGCUACCUGACCUAGCGGCGGACGGGUGAGUAAUGCUUAGGAAUCUGCCUAUUAGUGGGGGACAACAUCUCGAAAGGGAUGCUCAUACCGCAUACGUCCUACGGGGGAAAGCAGGGGACCUUCGGGCCUUGCGCUCAUAGAUGAGCCUAAGUCGGAUUAGCUAGUUGGUGGGGUAAAGGCCUACCAAGGCGACGAUCUGUAGCGGGUCUGAGAGGAUGAUCCGCCACACUGGGACUGAGACACGGCCCAGACUCCUACGGGAGGCAGCAGUGGGGAAUAUUGGACAAUGGGGGGAACCCUGAUCCAGCCAUGCCGCGUGUGUGAAGAAGGCCUUUUGGUUGUAAAGCACUUUAAGCGAGGAGGAGGCUACCGAGAUUAAUACUCUUGGAUAGUGGACGUUACUCGCAGAAUAAGCACCGGCUAACUCUGUGCCAGCCGCCGCCGUAA